CGGAGCGUGGCGCAGUUUGGUAGCGCACACCGCUGGGGGUGGUGGGGUCGCAAGUUCAAAUCUUGUCGCUCCGA
RNAcentral lists this transfer RNA (74 nucleotides) under Fidelibacterota bacterium. Its description in RNAcentral is "Candidatus Marinimicrobia bacterium tRNA-Pro". It matches the Rfam family "tRNA". From Rfam's summary of the family: Transfer RNA (tRNA) molecules are approximately 80 nucleotides in length. Their secondary structure includes four short double-helical elements and three loops (D, anti-codon, and T loops). Lineage: Bacteria; Pseudomonadati; Fidelibacterota. The record is from RNAcentral.